This 211-nucleotide long non-coding RNA is filed under the name Glycine max (soybean). RNAcentral's name for it is "long non-coding RNA (GMAX_LNC004763)". The record is from RNAcentral. Lineage: Eukaryota; Viridiplantae; Streptophyta; Magnoliopsida; Fabales; Fabaceae.
UGGAGAAUGGAGGAAUCUCAUCGGGAAAACAACAAAUAUAACAUUUCCCAGUCAAGAGGGUCCGCUCUUGACGGUGAAGAACACAUUGGAGAAUGGAGGAAUCCAAUCGGGAAAAUAACAAAGAUCACAUUUCCCAGUCAAGAGGGUCCGCUCUUGACGGUGAAGAACACAUUGGAGAAUGGAGGAAUCCAAUCGGGAAAAUAACAANNNN